GAUGGAGAACGCAGCGAAAUGCGAUAAGUAAUGUGAAUUGCAGAAUUCAGUGAAUCAUCGAAUCUUUGAACGCACAUUGCGCCCGCCAGUAUUCUGGCGGGCAUGCCUGUUCGAGCGUCAUUUCAACCAUCAAGCCCUGCUUGCGUUGGGGUCCUGCGGCUGCCCGCAGGCCCUGAAAACCAGUGGCGGGCUCGCUAGUCACACCGAGCGCAGUAAUACAUCUCGCUUUGGGCGUGCGGCGGGUUCUUGCCGUUAAACACCCCCUUUUUACCAAGGUUGACCUCGGAUCAGGUAGGAAUACCCGCUGAACUUAAGCAUAUCAAUAAGCGGAGGA
This 334-nucleotide unclassified non-coding RNA is filed under the name soil metagenome. Its description in RNAcentral is "partial contains 5.8S ribosomal RNA, internal transcribed spacer 2, and large subunit ribosomal RNA". The stretch from base 1 to 120 matches the Rfam family "5.8S ribosomal RNA", at positions 35 to 154 of the family's 154-position model. The record is from RNAcentral.